AGCGAACGCUGGCGGCAGGCCUAACACAUGCAAGUCGAACGAACUCUUCGGAGUUAGUGGCGGACGGGUGAGUAACACGUGGGAACGUGCCGUUUGGUUCGGAAUAACUCAUGUAAACUUGUGCUAAUAUCGAAUGUGCCCUUCGGGUGAAAGAUUUAUCGCCAUUAGAGCGGCCCGCGUCUUAUUAGCUAGUGGGUGAGGUAACGGCUCACCAAGGCGACGAUCAGUAGCUGGUCUGAGAGGAUGACCAGCCACACUGGGACUGAGACACGGCCCAGACUCCUACGGGAGGCAGCAGUGGGGAAUCUUGCGAAAUGGGCGAAAGCCUGAAGCAGCCAUGCCGCGUGAAUGAUGAAGGUCUUAGGAUUGUACAAUUCUUUCACCGGGGACGAUAAUGACGGUACCCGGAGAAGAAGCCCCGGCUAACUUCGUG
RNAcentral lists this ribosomal RNA (433 nucleotides) under uncultured bacterium. RNAcentral describes it as "partial 16S ribosomal RNA". It matches the Rfam family "Bacterial small subunit ribosomal RNA", at positions 29 to 507 of the family's 1533-position model. The record is from RNAcentral.